RNAcentral lists this non-coding RNA (190 nucleotides) under Anopheles gambiae (African malaria mosquito). RNAcentral describes it as "eukaryotic large subunit ribosomal RNA". It matches the Rfam family "Eukaryotic large subunit ribosomal RNA", at positions 2426 to 2587 of the family's 3401-position model. The record is from Rfam by way of RNAcentral. Lineage: Eukaryota; Metazoa; Arthropoda; Insecta; Diptera; Culicidae.
CUCUAGUCUGGCAUUGUAAGGCGAUAUAGGAGGUGCAGCAUAGGUGGGAGGGCUUCCUCGUGGAGCUCGCCUCUGAGAUACCACCACUCUUACUGUUGCCUUACUUACAUGAUUGGGUGGAACAAGCGCGGGCCCCAGGUCCGGAUCGUGCGCGCACCUCCUCCGGGGGGCUGGUGCGUCGGGUUAGGAG